UACAGAGGGUGCAAGCGUUAAUCGGAGUUACUGGGCGUAAAGGGUGCGUAGGCGGUUAUGUGAGUGUGAUGUGAAAGCCCUGGGCUCAACCUAGGAAGUGCGUCGCAAACGACAUGACUGGAGUAUAUGAGAGGGUGGCGGAAUUUCCGGUGUAGCGGUGAAAUGCGUAGAGAUUGGAAAGAACACCAAUGGCGAAAGCACUUUACUGGGCUAUUACUGACACUGAGAGACGAAAGCUAGGGUAGCAAAUGGG
Molecule: ribosomal RNA, 253 nt
Filed under: uncultured bacterium
Lineage: Bacteria
Description: partial 16S ribosomal RNA
Rfam family: Bacterial small subunit ribosomal RNA
Source: RNAcentral